Molecule: long non-coding RNA, 2298 nt
Organism: Pantherophis guttatus
Lineage: Eukaryota; Metazoa; Chordata; Lepidosauria; Squamata; Colubridae
Source: RefSeq, a predicted model, not a curated record
CUAAAAGCUCUUUUGUAACCCUAUAAAAGCGCGAUUACUCCAAGCUGCACAGCUUUAUGGCUUUCCAAAGGUAAUGAGGUAGAGAAGACAUCGCAUUGUAGUUGCAGGACAGCGCAAACGCCUGAGUGUGGCAAACACAUAACAGGAAUCCUCAAACCCUGGCCAUGGCCCACUACCAAGCCUUGAACCUUUCAGAACUGGGCUGCAGAAGUGGCAGGAAUCAUGAGUUCCAGAUUUUGGAUGCAUUCUGUUACCUUGAUGUAUAUCUGCCGAUGUAACCCGCUGUAAGCUAAAAAAAAAAAAAAAAAGAGGAUGGAGCACCUGCUCUCUUGAAUUAGUCCGGAACUUGGAUCCUGACGAAAGAUUGAAGAUCAUUGCGGAUUCGUGUGGGAGGAAAAUUGGGUGUGGGCACUUUGAGUAAUUGGGGUAGUAGCUUUAUUGAUUAUUGUGUUUUACAGAUAUAAGCAAUGGUUUUGUGGACAACCAGGGCCCAUUUGAUUUCUCAGUCGUUCCGAUCCCUAAUAUUUCCCCAACCGGCUGCGGAGUGUGAACCUCUUACAGAUGAAAGAAGUCCCUGCUUAGGACACCCUGGAAGCUGCCUUUUGAUGCAAAAGAACAGAAAAGAGAAUUUUCUUUAAAUGUGUUGGUUUUGUAAUUGUGGGUGUGAGUGUUGUUGUUGCACUCACUGUAUUGAUUGUGUUUUAUGUAUAAGCUGUAAGGUAGAGUGGGACGUGAAAUUUAUAGAGGAGGUGCUAGUACAUUAUUUGGUAAUAAAUCCUGAAGAAGUCCCCUUGUAAUAUUAUCUGAAAAUGGAAAAGCUGAAUAUACCCAAAAUCCCUAGCUAUGUAACAAAUACCUUUGUCAAAUUGGCAGAAGACAUAGCCCACACUCUGAAUGUAUCAAAUUGUUUUGUAUGUGGAGGAACUAACAUGGGAGAAAAAUGGCCAUGGGAAGCCCAGGAAUUAAAUUAUUCCAAAGUCUUAGAAAUGGAUCAGAAAGGUAACCUGUCAUAUAAUAAAGGUAAGGAUGGAGACUGGACAUUGACUACUAGUCUGGUAAGGAAUGUCUGUUUCCAGAGAAAAAUUGUGGCAGGCUGUCAUCAGGUAGGAAACCUCAUAUGUACAGGAAAAUGGGAAAGUAAGGUAUGGUGGUCAGGAGGUAAUGCCACAGAGGGAACUGAUGAAAUGGCCCUGUUUAAGGUAAACGGGUUAUUUUUUUUUAAAGGAUCCAGAUAAUCAGGCCCUUGAAUGGCUGGCUCCUGAUGGACUAUACUGGAUAUAUGGUAAAAUGGCAUAUGGGGUUCUACCGAAAUCUUGGUGUGGAGCUUGUGUCCUGGGAAUAAUUGGACCAGGAUUCUUUUUGCUUCCCCUUAAAACUCGACAGGUUUUAGGUGUCCCGGUAUAUGAUGACAAAGACAAAGUAUAAGACAAAGAAGACAUGUAGACACAUCUGCAAUAGGAAAAGUUAUUAAGGAAAUAACAGACAAAAUGGUUGAAAUAGCUCAUGUGCCAGUCCAGACUUGGAAAGGUCUUAAUUUACAGGACAUGUUUUCAGGAUGGUGGCCAAAGUUACCUGGCCUGCAGGCCAUUUUUGGCCUGGUAGGAUUAAUAGCUGUAGGGUGUAUUUUUCUCCUAUGUCUCUUACCUCUGUUUGUUAAGACUAUUUCUAAAAGUCUAUCCUUGCUGGUGGAACGUAAGACAACUGCUCAGGUGAUGGCUAUGUGGGAUUACAAACGGCUCCAGCAGGAAGAGGACCUAUGGUGUGACUCGUCUGGAUAAACAGAUGAGUCACAAAGGGGGGUAUGAGCCAGGCUAAGAUUUGAUAUUGGGAUAAAACUCAAAUAUUAGAAAUCCAAAUCUUUGGUCAAGACAGAAGUGCCUCUUCUGUGCCAAGGUGCUGAGAUGACAAACGGUAUUUGACGUAGGUACAGAAUUGUAAAAGGGCAAACUGACCCUAAACAGAUACAUUCUGUUGUUUAAUGUUUAUUGCAUCCCAAAUGUCAUGCAUAUCCCUGGAUAAGGGGUGCUGCUUCCUUAUUGCCCUUGAGGCGUCUCCUAGCCUCUUAUCUCCUUUUGUUAUGUCUUGAGCGCCGGAGCAGAGAACCUGAGUAUGUGAGAAGAAGAUUGUUAUUUCCUUUCCCAGAGAUAGAUGAAAGGACAGCUUCUACGUGUGAAAUGCAUCACUCUCUGUAAUAAUUUUGCCUUUAAACUGUAUAAAUACAUGGCCAGAAGAAGCCAUCGGCGUUCAGACCUUUUGGACUGUUUGAACCUUGCGCAAUAAACUCUUUCCUGCAUUGAA